CACAUGCAAGUCGAACGGAACUAAGGGGCUUGCCCUUUAGUUAGUGGCGGACGGGUGAGUAACGCGUGAGCAACCUGCCUUUCAGUGGGGAAUAAUAUCCUAGAAAAGGGUACUAAUACCGCAUAACGUAACGAGAUCGCAUGGUUUUGUUACCAAAGAUUUAUCGCUGAGAGAUGGGCUCGCGUCCGAUUAGCCAGUUGGUGGGGUAACGGCCUACCAAAGCUACGAUCGGUAGCCGGACUGAGAGGUUGAACGGCCACAUUGGGACUGAGACACGGCCCAGACUCCUACGGGAGGCAGCAGUGGGGGAUAUUGCGCAAUGGGGGAAACCCUAGACGCAGCAAUGCCGCGUGAAGGAUGAAGGUCUUCGGAUUGUAAACUUCUUUUGUCAGGGACGAAAAUUGACGGUACCUGACGAAUAAGCUCCGGCUAACUACGUGCCAGCCGCCGC
RNAcentral lists this ribosomal RNA (451 nucleotides) under uncultured bacterium. RNAcentral describes it as "bacterial SSU rRNA". It matches the Rfam family "Bacterial small subunit ribosomal RNA", at positions 52 to 518 of the family's 1533-position model. The record is from RNAcentral.